This 24-nucleotide non-coding RNA is filed under the name Arabidopsis thaliana (thale cress). Lineage: Eukaryota; Viridiplantae; Streptophyta; Magnoliopsida; Brassicales; Brassicaceae. The record is from RNAcentral.
UUAUGUGAUGCAUGCGUUAUGAGC